This is a non-coding RNA of Erythranthe guttata (spotted monkey flower), 287 nucleotides long. The record is from RefSeq and is a predicted model, not a curated record. Lineage: Eukaryota; Viridiplantae; Streptophyta; Magnoliopsida; Lamiales; Phrymaceae.
GCCUUCCCGUUGAGUUUCAGGUCGAGGUUCCUUCUAGAGCUCCAAGUGCUAGUGUGAGUGUAUUUGGUGUCUCGGCCGAAUCAAUGCAGUGCUCUUACGACACGAGGGGCAAUAGUGUCCCAACUAUUCUACUACUGAUGCAAGAACGAUUGUACUCACAAGGCGGUCUAAAGUCGAAAGGAAUAUUCCGGAUACAUCCGGAGAACAGCAAAGAGGAACACGUGAGGGACCAGCUGAACAGGGGGAUAGUUCCACAGGAUAUAGAUGUGCACUGUUUGGCUCGUCUG